This 99-nucleotide transfer RNA is filed under the name Kwoniella heveanensis CBS 569. RNAcentral's name for it is "tRNA-Thr". Lineage: Eukaryota; Fungi; Basidiomycota; Tremellomycetes; Tremellales; Cryptococcaceae. RNAcentral also lists the same sequence under 1 other name. The record is from RNAcentral.
GCCUUCUUAGUUCAGUGGUUUAGAAUUUGUCACUAGUAGUCUCGGAUCUUGGAUUCGGUUGCUAUGACAGGGUCACCUGUUCGAUUCAGGUAGAAGGCA